Cervus elaphus (red deer) is the source of this 1395-nucleotide long non-coding RNA. RefSeq lists it as uncharacterized. The transcript has 3 exons. The record is from RefSeq and is a predicted model, not a curated record. NCBI's taxonomy places the organism in Eukaryota, Metazoa, Chordata, Mammalia, Artiodactyla, Cervidae.
GUGAAGUAGCCCACGUAGGAGACGAAGGCGGAGAUCAGCAGGACGUCCCCGCACAGCGUGACCCCCUGGCUUUUGAAGUUCUCCACCGACUCGGCCCAGCGGACGUUUUCUGACGCCAGUCCUCCUACCAGCCUGAGGUGGGGUCCGGGGGUCAGUGGGCGAAGCCCGUGCUCCCAGCGGGAGAGAGGGCAGGCUGGAGGACUGGGAAAGCUGUGCUCCCACCUUUACCACGGACCUCAUGACUUCAAAGCCUUCCUUUGCUCAGUAGUUCAGGAACAAACAUGCGUUUUGGGGAGUUUGGGGGAGAAAACGCUUUAGGGAAGCAGAACUAAUGCUUUCCGGGUGCGGCUGGGGACACCGAGCUUCCUUCCCCAGGGUGCAGGCAUCACGUGCACUCCGAUGCUAUCUGACCACGUGACCUGACCGCCGAGGCCGCUGCCUGGACACUGCUGAGCACACGCUCUGGGCAGCGGCUAGUCCGGUGGCGGCCACCUGGCCCCGCGUGGGGUGGGGACUCCAGGCUGUGCUUCAUGCUUCUCAGGCCACUAGCCCGAAGGCUGGUCCCCGACCCUGAACGGCACACCCAGCGUCCGGGAGCAGGGCCAGGUUUGAGGAAGUACGGAUGCCCGAUUAGGCUCAUGGAGGUGUGUCUCUAGCAUCACCUGAGCAGUCCUUCUUCCCGGUGACCGAAAGACCACCUCUGACUGUCCCGGCAGAGGUGAGUCCACAACCUACCGGAGGCCAGAAAGAAGACCAGACCGAAACUGAGAGUUCUGGCCUCUGGAGUGCAAUUAAGGCCACUCCGGCCCUUGGCAAGAAAAGUGGUGUUCAGGGGUCGGCAACUUGCCCAGAUUUAUGCCAACAGGGAGUGUUGGAACCAGCGCCCAGUUCUCCAGCAUCACCGGAGAGGCUAAGGCUCUACAAGUGAGACUUCAAAGAGGUGACAUUACAGGUGUUAUCUUACAAAAGUGAUGAGGAGCAAUGCCCUCAGAUGCAGUUAAGAAGCUCCAGAAACUAAUGUUUUUAAAAUAACGGCGACAUCAUUGAGCAUUAACAGACAGAGCUGUCUGGAGAACGAAUUCUGAAUGGAUGAUUCAAAAUCGUAAUUGAAGAGUGAUUGGAGUUUAGGUGGGGAACACAGUCCAUCACCUCCUCUCUCUGGCAUUUUUUACACUCUGUUUAGGCAGUGGGUCUGCGUCUAUUAAGCACACUCCAGACAGCAUGGGGAGGUGACAGUUGCGAUGUUUGCUGGGUGAAAAGGAGAAGACAUUUAUCAUGGCACUAUUUAUGAUGGCAGAAAUGGAGACAGCCUAAACCCUCAACAGCGUAGGUAUAGUUAAUUACAAUUCAUCUGUGAUUAAAAAAAAAAAAAGUGAAACAGUUCAAGUGUUUUGA